AGAUUGAACGCUGGCGGCAGGCCUAACACAUGCAAGUCGAGCGGCAGCACGGGUACUUGUACCUGGUGGCGAGCGGCGGACGGGUGAGUAAUGCCUAGGAAUCUGCCUGGUAGUGGGGGAUAACGCUCGGAAACGGACGCUAAUACCGCAUACGUCCUACGGGAGAAAGCAGGGGACCUUCGGGCCUUGCGCUAUCAGAUGAGCCUAGGUCGGAUUAGCUAGUUGGUGAGGUAAUGGCUCACCAAGGCGACGAUCCGUAACUGGUCUGAGAGGAUGAUCAGUCACACUGGAACUGAGACACGGUCCAGACUCCUACGGGAGCAGCAGUGGGGAAUCGUUGGA
RNAcentral lists this ribosomal RNA (342 nucleotides) under uncultured soil bacterium. RNAcentral describes it as "bacterial SSU rRNA". It matches the Rfam family "Bacterial small subunit ribosomal RNA", at positions 26 to 369 of the family's 1533-position model. The record is from RNAcentral.